Pecten maximus is the source of this 4986-nucleotide long non-coding RNA. RefSeq lists it as uncharacterized. The transcript is spliced from 2 exons. Lineage: Eukaryota; Metazoa; Mollusca; Bivalvia; Pectinida; Pectinidae. The record is from RefSeq and is a predicted model, not a curated record.
AUGCAUGGAUGUAGGGCUACCAAGUUUGUUCAAAUGGAUGACCUUGACCUUCAUUCAAGGUCACAGGGGUCAAAUAUGCUAAGAUCUUUAAAUAACUUCUUUUUGAUAAUCAAAAGGCCGAGACUCAAUAUUAGGUCUGUAGCAUGCUGGGAUAAAGGGCUACUACGUUUGUUCAAAUGGAUGACCUUGACCUUCAUUAAAGGUCACAGGGGCCAAAUAUGCUAAAAUAUAUCAUAACUCAGGUGAACGUUAAGGCCCAUGGGCCUCUUGUUUAAAUUGCUUUUUUAUUUUUUAUAUGCUAUUGUUAUAUCUAUUGCUAGUGUGUUAGAUAUGGCCUUCAUUUAGUGUUUUUUGGAAAGAUCUUCCCACUACAUGAGUUCGAUAUGUAGGAGUGAAGUAAUUAGGGUCUAAUGUUGAUCCUAGUAGCACUUAGAUUAACAAACUUACAGAGAUUGGAUUGUUGUAACAUAAUUUCUUGAAAGAGGAAUCUCAUCAGUUGCAUAUAUAAUUGGAUACACUUUCAGUUUCUGAUGAUGUUAGCCAAUUAUAUAGCCAUUGAUAUUGAUAAAUGCUGUUAAAAACUUGAAUGUGAAGAUGUGUGGAGAUUGAAAGCCUGCAUGCUAUUAGGAUAUUUUUUACUGUUUGGUGAUUGAACGUCUGCCUCCCAGUCCUGGCUAUCCUAUCUUACAUAAGUAUACAUAUCAUAUUUAUCCUCAAAUAAGCCCCUUACCCGAGUGUUAAAGUCCAGUACAUCUGUAUUGGUAUGGAAAUUUGGGAAGGGCUUUCUUUGUGAAACACUUUUCUUUACCUUUUAAAAAAGUGAUGAUUCUUCAAAAAUGGAAAAUGCCUCGGGGCAUAUUUCCGAACAAGAGUCUUAUUUACAGACAAAUAUGGUAAAUGUACAUUCAGUGCAGGAAUGAAUAUCAAAUAUGUGAAUUACUUAAGAGUACCCGCUAUUGGAGUCUUAUUUGAAUUUUUGUAUGCUUAAUCCCAAAAUGGCAUCACUUACCUAGACUCAACAUACGGUAUGAAUGAAACAUAUCACAGAUUGAUAGCUUUAUCAAGCAUACUAAACAGGCUAUAAAACUUGUUUUAUUCUAAUACUCCUGGAAAAACUGUAGUUAAGAUGUAAAACCAUCAGUCAAUCUACAAUAAUAUCUGUUGUGGUGUGAAUAAUUAUCCUAGUACUACAUAUGGUCUGUGAUUAAAACCUCCGUAAAUGUAUUUCUUUCUUUUUUAUCUGGAGUAAAUGAUUGUCCCAGUACUAUGGUCUGCGAGUAUAACUUCUGUAAACAUACUUCUUUCUUUAACUUAAGCAACUCUUAUUAUACUUAUUAAAAAAUAUCCAUCGAAUUCAGGUUGAUACGAAGCACUGGGUCACUCUUCUUUUAACAUUUAAUGUAAAUGAAACUUAGAUAUCAACAUGGAAUGAACAGUUGUUGACAUUUUUAGCCCACCAUCAUCAGAAUUUAUUUUGAGAAUGGUUGGCGUUUAAGAUUUGUAUAAUUUUUGUGGGAUUGGUUAUUUGUGAUAAAGGAAUGAACUAACAUAUUAAUAAGGUGUACUUGUGAUGGUGGAGACCUUGGUAUACCAGGUGUAUCAUACAAUUAGGUGUACCUGUGAUGGUAGAGACCUUGGUAUACCAGGUGUAUCAUACAUUUAGGUGUACCUGUGAUGGUGGAGACCUCUGGUAUACCAGGUGUAUCAUACAAUUAGGUGUACCUGUGAUGGUAGGGACCUCGGGUAUACCAGGUGUAUCAUACAAUUAGGUGUACCUGUGAUGGUAGGGACCUCGGGUAUACCAGGUGUACCUGUGAUGGUGAAGACCUCGGGUAUACCAGGUGUAUCAUACAAUUAGGUAUACCUGUGAUGGUAGAGACCUCGGGUAUACCAGGUGUAUCAUACAAUUAGGUGUACCUGUGAUGGUGGAGACCUUGGUAUACCAGGUGUAUCAUACAAUUAGGUGUACCUGUGAUGGUGGAGACCUCGGAUAUACCAGGUGUAUCAUACAAUUAGGUGUACCUGUGAUGGUGGAGACCUUGGUAUACCAGGUGUAUCAUACAAUUAGAUGUACCUGUGAUGGUGGAGACCUCGGGUAUACCAGGUGUACCUGUGAUGGUAGAGACCUUGGUAUACCAGGUGUACCUGUGAUGGUGGAGACCUCGGAUAUACCAGGUGUAUCAUACAAUUAGGUGUACCUGUGAUGGUGGAGAUCUCGGGUAUACCAGGUGUAUCAUACAAUUAGGUGUACCUGUGAUGGUGGAGACCUCGGGUAUACCAGGUGUAUCAUACAAUUAGGUGUACCUGUGAUGGUGGAGACCUUGGUAUACCAGGUGUAUCAUACAAUUAGGUGUACCUGUGACGGUAGAGACCUAGGGUAUACAUGGUGUAUCAUACAAUUAGGUGUACCUGUGAUGGUGGAGACCUCAGGUAUACCAGGUGUAUCAUACAAUUAGGUGUACCUGUGAUGGUAGGGACCUUGGUAUACCAGGUGUAUCAUACAAUUAGGUGUACCUGUGAUGGUGGAGACCUCAGGUAUACCAGAUGUAUCAUACAAUUAGGUGUACCUGUGAUGGUGGAGACCUCGGGUAUACCAGGUGUAUCAUACAAUUAGGUGUACCUGUGAUAGUGGAGACCUCGGGUAUACCAGGUGUAUCAUACAUUUAGGUGUACCUGUGAUGGUAGAGACCUCGGGUAUACCAGGUGUAUCAUACAAUUAGGUGUACCUGUGAUGAUGGAGACCUUGGUAUACCAGGUGUAUCAUACAAUUACGUGUACCUGUGACGGUAGAGACCUCGGGUAUACCAGGUGUAAUAUACAAUUAGGUGUACCUGCGACGGUAGAGACCUCGGGUAUACCAGGUGUAUCAUACAAUUAGGUGUACCUGUGAUGGUAGAGACCUCGGGUAUACCAGGUGUAUCAUACAAUUAGGUGUACCUGUGAUGGUGGAGACCAAGUAUACCAGGUGUAUCAUACAAUUAGGUGUACCUGUGACGGUAGAGACCUCGGGUAUACCAGGUGUAUCAUACAAUUAGGUGUACCUGUGAUGGUGGAGACCUUGGUAUACCAGGUGUAUCAUACAAUUAGGUGUACCUGUGAUGGUGGAGACCUCAGGUAUACCAGGUGUAUCAUACAAUUAGGUGUACCUGUGAUGGUAGAGACCUCGGGUAUACCAGGUGUAUCAUACAUUUAGGUGUACCUGUGAUGGUGGAGACCUCAGGUAUACCAGGUGUAUCAUACAAUUAGGUGUACCUGUGAUGGUGGAGACCUCAGGUACACCAGGUGUAUCAUACAAUUAGGUGUACCUGUGAUGGUUAGGGACCUCGGGUAUACCAGGUGUAUCAUACAAUUAGGUGUACCUGUGAUGGUGGAGACCUCAGGUAUACCAGGUGUAUCAUACAAUUAGGUGUACCUGUGAUGGUGGAGACCUCGGGUAUACCAGGUGUAUCAUACAUUUAGGUGUACCUGUGAUGGUAGAGACCUCGAUUAUACCAGGUGUAUCAUACAAUUAGGUGUACCUGUGAUGGUGGAGACCUUGGUAUACCAGGUGUAUCAUACAAUUAGGUGUACCUGUGAUGGUGGAGACCUCAGGUAUACCAGGUGUAUCAUACAAUUAGGUGUACCUGUGAUGGUAGAGACCUCGGGUAUACCAGGUGUAUCAUACAUUUAGGUGUACCUGUGAUGGUGGAGACCUCAGGUAUACCAGGUGUAUCAUACAAUUAGGUGUACCUGUGAUGGUGGAGACCUCAGGUACACCAGGUGUAUCAUACAAUUAGGUGUACCUGUGAUGGUUAGGGACCUCGGGUAUACCAGGUGUAUCAUACAAUUAGGUGUACCUGUGAUGGUGGAGACCUCAGGUAUACCAGGUGUAUCAUACAAUUAGGUGUACCUGUGAUGGUGGAGACCUCGGGUAUACCAGGUGUAUCAUACAUUUAGGUGUACCUGUGAUGGUAGAGACCUCGGGUAUACCAGGUGUAUCAUACAAUUAGGUGUACCUGUGAUGGUGGAGACCUUGGUAUACCAGGUGUAUCAUACAAUUAGGUGUACCUGUGAUGGUGGAGACCUCAGGUAUACCAGGUGUAUCAUACAAUUAGGUGUACCUGUGAUGGUAGGGACCUCGGAUAUACUAGGUGUAUCAUACAAUUAGAUGUACCUGUGAUGGUGGAGACCUCGGGUAUACCAGGUGUACCUGUGAUGGUAGAGACCUCGGGUAUACCAGGUGUAUCAUACAAUUAGAUGUACCUGUGAUGGUAGAGACCUCAGUAUACCAGGUGUAUCAUACAAUUAGGUGUACCUGUGAUGGUAGAGACCUCGGGUAUACCAGGUGUAUCAUACAAUUAGGUGUACCUGUGAUGGUGGAGACCAAGUAUACCAGGUGUAUCAUACUUAUAUCUACAAAUUUAAAUUUUAGAUUUGUUACUUAUUUAAUUAUUAAAGAAAUAUACUUUGUACAUUUAUUGCGUAUAUAAUGUUAUACAUACCCAUGCUCAUUUUAUAAUAAAAUAUUACUAAUGGUUUUACAAUAAAAUAAAGAAAAAAAUAAUAGAUAAAAAUGUUUUGUUAUUCUUUAUGAUUAAUACCCCAUAUCAGAUAUGUCUAUUGUAAUUAAUGUGUCCGUCUGUAUUUGUGUUCCUUGACAAACACAUGUGUUUCCAGAGAGGAUCUUGAAAUAUAUAAAUAAUCUAACAUUGUUGAAAUUCCAUAAAUGUGGAUACACUAUUGUGAAUGUCUAAUCUAAUGUCAAGGCUGUAUGACUCUUCAGCUUUGGUCUAGAGAAACUCAGUUGAUUAGUUUACACGGCUAGCUCCAGGUACACAUGCUAUUUCUAGCCCUUCAUUAAAAACGACACCAAAGGUGAAAAAAUAGGUUUUAUUUAUAAUAAAAUAUAUGAAUUCAUUAACUCUAUACAGUUAUUUCCUAAAUAGCAUGAAGUUUAUUCCAUCUUUGCUAUAUUAGAAUGUGUCAUAAUAAAUAUAUUUUUAUCAA